RNAcentral lists this non-coding RNA (45 nucleotides) under Aeromonas molluscorum. Its description in RNAcentral is "Guanidine-II sequence". It matches the Rfam family "Guanidine-II riboswitch aptamer (mini-ykkC)". From Rfam's summary of the family: Simpler in structure and has fewer highly conserved nucleotide positions than the ykkC-yxkD leader. Despite this each of its two stem-loop structures directly bind free guanidine. The record is from RNAcentral. Lineage: Bacteria; Pseudomonadati; Pseudomonadota; Gammaproteobacteria; Aeromonadales; Aeromonadaceae.
CGGCGGGGACGACCCCGCUGCCUGACCGCUGGCAGGGACGACCCU